UGGGUAACCUGCCUCAAAGAGGGGAAUAGCCUCCCGAAAGGGAGAUUAAUACCGCAUAAUAUGUUUAAGUCGCAUGACUUUAACAUCAAAGGAUUUUCUUUUAGAAAUUCCGCUUUGAGAUGGACCCGCGGCGCAUUAGCUAGUUGGUGAGGUAACGGCUCACCAAGGCAACGAUGCGUAGCCGACCUGAGAGGGUGAUCGCACAUUGGAACUGAGACACGGUCCAGACUCCGUAGGGAGG
RNAcentral lists this ribosomal RNA (241 nucleotides) under uncultured bacterium. Its description in RNAcentral is "partial 16S ribosomal RNA". It matches the Rfam family "Bacterial small subunit ribosomal RNA", at positions 118 to 348 of the family's 1533-position model. The record is from RNAcentral.